UUGGAGGGCAAGUCUGGUGCCAGCAGCCGCGGUAAUUCCAGCUCCAAUAGCGUAUAUUAAAGUUGUUGCAGUUAAAAAGCUCGUAGUUGAAUUUCGGGAUUAGUACGCUGGUCGUGCCUUCGGUACGUACUGGUGUUACUGAUUUCUACCUUCUGACGAACCAUCAUGUCAUUAAUUUGGUGUGGGGGGAAUCAGGACUGUUACUUUGAAAAAAUUAGAGUGUUUAAAGCAGGCUCGCGCUUGAAUACAUUAGCAUGGAAUAAUGAAAUAGGACGUUGAUCCUAUUUUGUUGGUUUCUAGGAUUGACGUAAUGAUUAAUAGGGAUAGUUGGGGGCAUUAGUAUUCAAUUGUCAGAGGUGAAAUUCUUGGAUUUAUUGAAGACUAACUACUGCGAAAGCAUUUGCCAAGGAUGUUUUCAUUAAUCAAGAACGAAAGUUAGGGGAUCGAAGACGAUCAGAUACCGUCGUAGUCUUAACCAUAAACUAUGCCGACUAGGGAUCGGAUGAUGUUAUUUUUAAUGACUCAUUCGGCGCCUUACGGGAAAC
This 545-nucleotide ribosomal RNA is filed under the name uncultured Glomeromycotina. Its description in RNAcentral is "SSU rRNA". It matches the Rfam family "Eukaryotic small subunit ribosomal RNA", at positions 548 to 1098 of the family's 1831-position model. Lineage: Eukaryota; Fungi; Glomeromycota. The record is from RNAcentral.